RNAcentral lists this ribosomal RNA (372 nucleotides) under uncultured organism. RNAcentral describes it as "bacterial SSU rRNA". It matches the Rfam family "Bacterial small subunit ribosomal RNA", at positions 526 to 896 of the family's 1533-position model. The record is from RNAcentral.
CGUAGGGUGCUAGCGUUGUUCGGAAUCAUUGGGCGUAAAGCGCGUGUAGGUGGUCAAUUAAGUCGGGUGUGAAAGCCCUGGGCUCAACCGAGGAAGUGCAUCCGAAACUGAUUGGCUAGAGGGUGGUAGAGGGAGGUGGAAUUCCUAGUGUAGAGGUGAAAUUCGUAGAUAUUAGGAGGAAUACCGGUGGCGAAGGCGGCCUCCUGGACCAUUCUUGACACUGAGACGCGAAAGCGUGGGGAGCAAACAGGAUUAGAUACCCUGGUAGUCCACGCUGUAAACGAUGGGUACUAGAUGUUGCGGGAAUUGACCCCUGCAGUGUCGACGCUAACGCAUUAAGUACCCCGCCUGGGAAGUACGGCCGCAAGGUUA